CAUUUUGAAUGACGGCGCUGUCAGUGUUUCAGUGACUCCUCGUGAAAGCCUCUGUGAUGGAAAAUUUCACGUGGUCACAGUGUACAAACAACAUGAAAUUGUAAAACUAGUGGUGGACUCCAUGUCUAAACAGAAAGCUGCCCUCUUCACGUCCCCCUCGUACUCAACAACACUGGAUACACUUUACAUUGGAGGAACAACAAAGCGAAGCAAAGUCCCCGUGUCCUCACCAUUUGUGGGCUGCUUGCGCAAUGUGAAGCUUAAUGGAAGGCCUGUUGCAUUUGAGACAGGAUCCAGGGUGGUUGGCCCUGUGAGCAUCAAUAGAUGCCCUGCAGUCUAAGGAUGUGUAAUUACUGGGUGACACAUCAACUUCUUUAACCCCCACAGACCAUUUGGCAUCAUUACAAAGACCUAAGCUUUGUGGAAACCCACAGAACUAAAUUAGAAUUUCUACCCCCCUUAGAUACUGUUGCAACGCCUGGCAAGCAGUCCCUGAUAACAGGGACAGAUUUUUAAUGACAGGCAAAGCGGUUCUUUUCAGUGUAGUGAAUCAUUCGAAUCACUUCAUUAAAAAGAUCUGCUCACCAAAUUGUUCAGUGCUUGACCUUUGCUGUGUAGGCCUACUAAAUGAACUGAAUCACAGUUCAGUUCAGCUCGUUAACUAGUGAACUGAGAACGGUCGUUGGUGAAUGAUAAGUCAGUGAGCUGAGAAUGUAGUUGGAUAAAAACACUGUUUGCAAACUGAAAGCUGAAAACAAAGUCCUACCCUAUAUGUUGGGGCAGGUAUACUUUUGUAUUAUUUUAUUUAAUAAAAUAUUUGGUAGUCCUUCCUACUUCAAGACGUAAAAAGACAUGAGAGGGGCGAGGCUCAUGUUCACUGUGAAUGUUCAGCGAAUGAUUCACUGAACAUGCCCCGGUCCCCUGCAGUGAGAGGAUCUGACACCGCCUCAGGCUCAGCCACCUGUUUUUCUUUCAUAUUGCAGGUUUCACUACGCAUUGUUAACUACAAAAGAUGGUGAGAUUAAAAAAAGAGGUAACCUGAUUUUGUGUGUCAUUUUAAAUGUAUUACAUUUAAUGAGGCCAGAUGAAGCAAUUUAGUUUAUGCACUCUAUGAUACCAUGCCAAAAUCAGAAUCGCUUACUAUCCCUUUAAAUAUUAUAAGAUUAAGAUUAUAAUGUUAUGUUAAUGUGUGUGUUGUUGUCUCUUGUCUCUUUUCUGUGAU
This is a long non-coding RNA of Micropterus salmoides (largemouth bass), 1222 nucleotides long. RefSeq lists it as uncharacterized. The record is from RefSeq and is a predicted model, not a curated record. The transcript has 3 exons. NCBI's taxonomy places the organism in Eukaryota, Metazoa, Chordata, Actinopteri, Centrarchiformes, Centrarchidae.